CGUGUUCGAUAUGUCAAAAUGACUCUCGGCAACGGAUAUCUCGGCUCUCGCAUCGAUGAAGAACGUAGCGAAAUGCGAUACAUGGUGUGAAUUGCAGAAUUCCGUGAACCAUCGAGUUUUUGAACGCAAGUUGCGCCCGAAGCCAUUUGGUCGA
This 154-nucleotide ribosomal RNA is filed under the name Myriocarpa cordifolia. RNAcentral describes it as "5.8S ribosomal RNA". The stretch from base 21 to 154 matches the Rfam family "5.8S ribosomal RNA", at positions 1 to 132 of the family's 154-position model. From Rfam's summary of the family: 5.8S ribosomal RNA (5.8S rRNA) is a component of the large subunit of the eukaryotic ribosome. It is transcribed by RNA polymerase I as part of the 45S precursor that also contains 18S and 28S rRNA. Functionally, it is thought that 5.8S rRNA may be involved in ribosome translocation. Lineage: Eukaryota; Viridiplantae; Streptophyta; Magnoliopsida; Rosales; Urticaceae. The record is from RNAcentral.